This 497-nucleotide ribosomal RNA is filed under the name uncultured bacterium. RNAcentral's name for it is "partial 16S ribosomal RNA". It matches the Rfam family "Bacterial small subunit ribosomal RNA", at positions 28 to 507 of the family's 1533-position model. The record is from RNAcentral.
GAUGAACGCUGGCGGCGUGCCUAAUACAUGCAAGUCGAGCGAACAGACGAGGAGCUUGCUCCUCUGACGUUAGCGGCGGAUGGGUGAGUAACAAGUGGCUACCCUACCUAUAAGACUGGGCUAACUUCGGGAAAACGACGCUAAAACCGGAUAACAUGUUGAACCGCAUGGUUCAAAAGUGAAAGACGGUCUUGCUGUCACUUAUAGAUGGAUCCGCGCCGCAUUUGCUAGUUGGUAAGGUAACGGCUUACCAAGGCAACGAUGGGUAGCCGACCUGAGAGGGUGAUCGCCCACACUGGAGCUGAGACACGGUCCAGACUCCUACGGGAGGCAGCAGUAGGGAAUCUUCCGCAAUGGGCGGAAGCCUGACGGAGCAACGCCGCGUGAGUGAAGAAGGUCUUCGGAUCGUAAAACUCUGUUAUUAGGGAAGAACAAAUGUGUAAGUAACUAUGCACGUCUUGACGGUACCUAAACAGAAAGCCACGGCUAACUACGUG